This 132-nucleotide small nucleolar RNA is filed under the name Carlito syrichta (Philippine tarsier). RNAcentral describes it as "Small Cajal body specific RNA 8 (ENSTSYG00000024303.2)". It matches the Rfam family "Small Cajal body specific RNA 8". Rfam says of the family: scaRNAs are a specific class of small nuclear RNAs which localise to the Cajal bodies and guide the modification of RNA polymerase II transcribed spliceosomal RNAs U1, U2, U4, U5 and U12. Lineage: Eukaryota; Metazoa; Chordata; Mammalia; Primates; Tarsiidae. The record is from Rfam by way of RNAcentral.
UGGGAGGCUGACACACAAAUUGGGCUGAAGUGCCGCUCUAAUUGUCAUUGUACCUCCCUAGAGUAAAACUGCCUUUUGAUGACCGGGAUAAAUUGAGUGAAAUUGUAACGGACAGAUACGGGGCAGACAGUU